GAGCUUGGGCUGGCAGGCCUACACAUGCAAGUCGAGCGGCAGCGGGAAAGUACCUUGUUUCUUUUGCCGGAGAGCGGCAGAGGGGAGAGUAGUGCCUGGAAAAGUGCCCUAUCGAGGGAGAUAACCUGUGAAAACGACUGCUAAUACCGUGUACGCCCUACGGGGGAAAGCGGGGUACCUUCGGCUCUUGCUCGAUUGUGUAUGCCCAUGGGGGAUUAGCUUGUUGGGGAGGUAAUGGCUCCCCAAGGCCACUAUCCCUAGCUGGUCUGAGAGGAUGAUCACCCACUGUGGAACUGACACACGGUCCACACUCCUACGGGAGGCAGCAGUGGGGAAUAUUGCACUGUGGGGGAAACCCUGAUGCACCCGUGCCGCGUGUGUGAAAAGGGUCUUCGGUUUGUAAAGCACUUUCCGCGAAGAAGAGAGGUUGGAAGCUAAUACCUGCCAACUGUGACUUCCCUCGCAAAAAAAACCCCGUAUAUCUCCGUGCCAGCACCCGCGAAUAUACAGAGGGUGCACGCGUUUCUCAAAUUUUCUGGGCGUAAAGCGCACGCGCGCGGUUGGAUAACUUAUAUGUAAAACCCCCGGUCUCCUCCUGAAAAUUGCAUUUAACACUGUGCAGCUAGACUCUUGUAGAGGGGGGUAGAAUUCCAGGUGUAGCGGAGAUAUGCAUAGAUAUCUGGAAGUAUACCGGUGGAGAGCGCCGCCCUGUGGACAAACACUGACUCUCAUGUGCGAAAGCGUGGAGAGCACACGAUAUUAUAUACCCUGGUACCCCACUCCAUACAAUAUGUCUAUUUGGAGGCUGUGCCCUUGACACGUGUUUUCCAGAGCUCACGCUAUAUAUCGAGCGUCUGGAGAGCACGGCGCGCAGGGAUAAACACUCAUAUGAUUUGACGGGGCCCCGCACGCGCGGGGGAGUAUGUGGUUUAUUCUAGAUGACGCGCAAAAACCUAUCCCUGCUCUUCAUACGUCUGAAAUUCUUGUAGAGAUACGAGAGUGCUUUCGGAAUCAGAAACACGUGUGCCUGCAUGGUGUGUCCUCCGUCUCGUUGUCGUGAAGAUUGUGGGUUAAAAUGUCCCCGCACACGAGCGCACCUUCAUGCUCUUUUUUGUGCCAGCACUGAAUGGGGGAAUCUCAGGGAACCUGCUGCCGGGAGUAUACCGGAGAGAAGGUGGGAGAUGAACCUCAGUCUCCUCUGGGGCCCCUUAUCAGGUCA
Molecule: ribosomal RNA, 1219 nt
Filed under: Aeromonas sp.
Lineage: Bacteria; Pseudomonadati; Pseudomonadota; Gammaproteobacteria; Aeromonadales; Aeromonadaceae
Description: partial 16S ribosomal RNA
Rfam family: Bacterial small subunit ribosomal RNA
Source: RNAcentral